RNAcentral lists this long non-coding RNA (7440 nucleotides) under Lactuca sativa (garden lettuce). Its description in RNAcentral is "long non-coding RNA (LSAT_LNC002052)". Lineage: Eukaryota; Viridiplantae; Streptophyta; Magnoliopsida; Asterales; Asteraceae. The record is from RNAcentral.
AUUGAUUACUCAUUAUUUGUCGUUUCGGGUAAUCAACUUCUUACUUGAAUUACAACACUUGUCCCAUGCUCCUAGCAUGCACACAAUGUUUACCUAUGGUUCUUACUUUGUGAAAUAGAUCAAAUUGAACACAUUUCCAAUCAUUCUCAUUUCACAACUCCAAAUCCUUUUUCAUAAGUGAAAGAAUAUCAAAUUCUUGCUACUUAUAGAAUAUGCUAGAUUCUAACAUUCUAUGCAACUAUCCUUUCGUAAUGUCACUGCACCAAAGUCACAAAGACUAUUGCCAAUGAUAUUACAAAGUCCUCUAUCGGAGAUUGUUACAAGACAAUUCCAUAGACGUGAUGUCUCUCACUCAAAGUACAUUCUUUGAACAUCCUUUUGCAUAGAAGUUUCUAAUCUAGUCAUAGAUUUCUCAAUAUUCAAUUCCCAAUAUGGACACACUUCCAUAUGUUCCAUAUGACAACUCAUUCUUAAUAGAAUCUUAUCUAUUCGUAAUGAUGUCGAUAUGGUCCAUCCAAUAUGGAAACAUUUCCAUAUUUUCCAAUACUAUACUUCCAACUACUCACAAGCGACCAAUCCUCGUCGAACUUUGGAUUGUCCUUUGAUAGUUGUUUAAUUAUUUUAGUCAAAACCAAUUCUAGUCCCUUUUCCCUCUAAAUGCGCUCGACAUUUGGAAAAUUUUAGAAUGGUCAAACAUUAAAGCAUUUGCAAUCGAUCCUAUACCCGAAGCGUAUGGGACACGACGCAUAAUGUUUUAUUUGCUAUGUUCUCAAAAUUCGAAUUGUGAAGAGGAAUGCCGUAAUCAUAAUCGAAAUUUUAAGAACACACUAUGUACCUUUGACUAAAUUUAUUAACAUUUCUCAACCUAAUCCUUUAGAUUUGAAAUGAAGCAUAAUAUUCUCUCCCUUAAUUAUAGCAAAACAACUUUACAACCCUUACGACUUUGCAAGGUAUAACUCUUGUUUUCUAUAAUUAAUAUUGCCAACUUGCAAUACGUGCCUUAAUAAUCAUACAAUCAUAACAUUUAUGCUCCCACUAUCAUGAUGAUUAUUAUAAAACAUAACACUUAUGCUCCCACUAGCUUCGACAUGUAUUCAUAAACAUCUUAACUUUCAGAAAAACAAUACUUAUUGAAUUUCUUAAGUUCAUGUUUCUAAUACUUAGUGCUUUGAUAAUCUUUUAUCAAGGCUUCUUGAACUUAUACACCUUUGCCUUCGAUAGUUCAUAUGUGUGUCUAAACAAUUAAGACUAAUUGCCAAACCUCACAAUUCAAAUUAUGGAAAGGGAUACCGUAACCAUAAUCGAAUUCGAGAAUGCAAUUUUACAAUCACUAUCUUCUUAAAAUCUUUCUUAGUGAAAGCAUUUCCUCACAAUCAUUUUCAUGAAGGAGGAAAUCUUAUGACACUUAGAUUUAAACGGUGUAUGUGUUCCUAUCCAUGUGAAUUUGUUAAAACCAAAGUUUACGACAAAUUCAAACUCAUAUGGACCGAACUUUCUUAAUCUUGAUUUCUUGCCUUAUGGUAGCACAGCUGCCCACCAUGUCUUCCAAGUAGUUAAGCAGCUCACCCUUUCCUAUCAAUGUACCUUUCAUUGAUUAAGGUGCUUUGCCUUUUAUGCGUUCAAAAUGAGAACUCAUAGAACUCACAUGCAUAAUUAACUCGAUUGGAUUGGCACAGAAACAAAAUAAUGUCAACACGAUAGGUUGUAAACCUCAACUCGUGUGCUAGUGAUGAUCGAUAAGGUUUAUUUGAUUUGUUCUUGAAACCUUUCAAGACCAUUAAGACUCCCACUGACUCCUUGACAUAUAAGAUUCUCUUGUCAAUAAACAUUUCUUGACAAACAAAUAUUCAAGAGUUAGUGUAGCUUUUAUCAAAACACUUCAUAAAUUGGUCCUAGUUGGUCUUUGUCUUAUCCAAGACAUCACAACUUUCCACAUUUGAUGAAUGUUAUAAACCUUCUUAAUACUUAUCACUCAAUGUCACAAUCUUAACUCUAAGACUUGUUUUGGAACGAAGUAUGAUUGACUUCUUGAUUUAACCAUUUCUUCAAUUCUUGAUUCCUCUUCUUAGACAUACAAUUGUACUAAGACUCACUUAGAGGAUCAAUUGAGAUAUGGUUCUUAAUCAUUAAGACCUAUCAUAAAGCAUAAAAGGUACUCUCCCUUCUUCUUAGAAUGGAGAAACUUUUAUCUUUCUGCCUACUUGAUUCUUCUUAUUCGUUCUGCUAUUGAUUUAAACCUUUUCAAUCAAUUCAGAAUUACACUUAAUCUUAUAAGUAUAAUCAUAUUUACUAAACCUUUAGUAAAUCAUGACGAAUAUCUUUGUUACUCUUAUGGUGGACUUGAUCAACACGCAACUUUGUGUACUCGAUCUCCUAGUCCUUCACUUGACACUUUGUCAAUGAAUUAGUCUAAUUUCCAAAUAUGAAAUUUCUCAUUCAUCGUGCAACCAAGUUGCAUGAUUCCAAGUUUCUGUCCAAUUGAAACUUGGGCGAUGAGAAACUCUCCCUAUUUGGUAAAUUCUCGACUUUCCAUAAAUAACAUAAUAAGAACCAAAUCCAUUAUUGCUAAUAAUAGAAACAUUCAAACAUCAAUUUUUCAUAUACGCCAUUGCAAGGAUAAAUAAAUAAUAUAAAAUCAAAAUUUAUUUUAUUGCGGAAAAAUUUGUCCUUACAAUGCAAUUCAUUGAAAAACUAUGCUAAUACAUCUUUCUUAGCAAUCUAAUUCUAACUCUAAGUAGUAGCUCAAGAAUCUAAUCUUCGAGAAAUGCGAUCGAAAUCCAUUCCUUCACGGUUAGAUUCUGCUCACUUCUUCCCUUAAGCUUCCUUUCUUUUCUUCGAUCCUACAAAACAUCAAUUGUAAUCUUAUCACAUUAUGUAUUAAGAAUCUAGAAUAGAAGCUUAAAAGAGUUAGUUAAUGGAUUUUACCUAUAUUAGAGCCAUACGUUUCGACUCUCCCAUCUCUUAGAUCUCUUAGGUAAAUGGGGCAGCUUCGUCUCCAAUGCCCUUUCUCUUGGCAAUAAAAGCAAAUUGACUCUUUUGGAACAUGACAUGGAACUACUUCAGACAUUGCCUUUCUCUUAUGAUCAAACUUUUCGAUCAUAGCAUGUCUUUCGUUGCCAUUGUCUAUAUCCAUAGAGGUCUUGAAGGCAGAUUCACCAAUCAACUUUGCUUUUCUAUUGCGCCAAACCAUUGCUGAUUCAGCAGCAAUAAGCAUAUAGGUGAGAUCUAUAAGGGUCACGUCGCGGUUCAUCAUAUAGUACUCUCUUACGAACUCACUAUAUGAGUUAGGAAGUGACUGAAGAACCCAAUCAACAGCCAUUUCCUCACAGACAACGGAUCCCAACAUUCUUAACCUAUCAAUGUGUGACUUCAUCCCUAGGACGUGUGCACACACCGACUUUCCUUCUUUAUGUUUACUUGCCAAAAGGGCUUGAGUGAUCUUGAACUUUUCAAGCCUUUGAACUUGUGGGUUAGGGAGAAUAAUUGGAGGAGGAGGAGGAAGUGAAGCAUGAUUUCUUGUUCCUCGAUCGAAUCGUGGAAUAUCAUCUUCAUGUGGAAUGCUUGUUCCACGGGAUUUGGGAAGACCAUAGUUGUCGAACUUUGACAUCUACAAAACGGGAGAAAACGAAUUCAAGUUAGUUGAUUGAUUGAGUCCUUAGUAAAUCACCCAAAUGAGAUACUAAGGCUAGGACCCAACACAAUAUUCUACAACUCGGGAGAGGGAUGCCGUAACCCUAAUUGCAGAAUAUUUGAAGGUAAGUGAAUGACGAUUCACUAAUUUCCACCAUGAAAAACGAAAAAGAAAUUUAAGUUUUAAAUCUAUGAAAACUCCUAGAUCCUUUGAGAUUCAUUGAACUUUCAAUGGCAUGUUUAAAUCUCGAUAUGCCCCUCUUGUUUGUGACUGGGAUGCCGAGGAUCACAAAGCGGGUGUGAAUAACCAUGCAAACUUACAUGGUGCCCUCACAUGUUACAGUCACCUAUUCGAUGUGCCGGUAAACCACACACGCUCCACCGAACUAUGACAAACAUUGAGUCACCCUUUGCUACCUUUGCUUAGAACCAUUUAGUGUGCCGGUAAACCACACACGCUCCACUAACGUCUUCGCAAGGGCACAAAGUGUAAUUUCAUGGAAUUGCAUCAAUUCACUUUUGCCUAAGUAACUAAGAUUGGGAAUUUUAUGAAAACAUUUAGUUACUUUAAUAAUUCAUUAUACUUAUAAUGGAAGGUUUCGUCCUAUCCUACCCGUUCGGCUAACGACCCUCCACUAGUCAAGAGUGCGGUGGGUAAGAGUGGAUACCCAUUCAAUCGCCAUUUUAUAGGCAAUUUCCUUAAACACCCCUUAUAGACCAGCUUCGUGAAUGAGGCCUACUAACGGUAAGACUGACUUUUACUCAUACAUAUAUAUAAUGUUAGACUUUUAAUGUUAUAUAUAGUAUAGGGUGUAUUUUAUACUUUUAAAAUACUAGGUGGUCUAAUUUAACAAUUAUACUUUUAAUUCAAUUAAAUUGUAAACCUAAACUUUUAUGGAUUUAUUAAACCUCUUUUAAUUAUACACCUUAAUUAAUUAAUAAAACCAUAAGGGUGUGAUUUGAACUUUUUCAAAACUAUACUAGAGUUUUAGAAUUUAACAUUCCUAAUUAAACUUUUAAUCAACUUUUAAAUUCCAAAACUUGAGGGCAAGUUUUGAAACAUUUCAACACAUUAGGGUUUAGAAUUUAAAUAUGCAUCAAAAUUAAACUAUUUAAUCAAAAUUUAAAUUCCAAAACUUGAGGGCAAGUUUUGAAACCUUUUUCAAAACAUUAGGGUUUCAACUAUUUAAAUUUCAAAACAACAAAACUUUUGGGGUUCAAAUUUAAACUAUAAAACCUAAAGGGCCAAAUAUGAAACUUUUCACAACAACAAGGAUCAAAUAACAAAUAAUUCAAAUUAACAUUUAAUCACAUAAUUAUCCAUAUUUGAUGAUUUCUUGCAAAAUAAUUUAUCAAUUUACUUAAAAUAAUUAAUCAAUUAUCUUAUAAGGAAACAAUUAUCUUAUUAAUUGAUAAAUAUCUUCAAUUAGAUUAAAAAUAUAGUCAAAUAUAUCAUAUAAUCGGAUUAAUAUUAAUCUAACAUGAUAAGGUAAUUAUCCCAAUGCAAAAACAGCAAGAAAUCCCGAGAUAAGCACUGUCUGACGCACCGACUCGCCGAGUCACCCUCUGGAACUCGCCGAGUAGGGCUGACUCGCCGAGUCCAAGAGUGACUCGCCGAGUCAGGUCGAACAGUGAGGCCAAAACACGAUUUUCAGUUACAUCAAGCAUCAAUACAAUAGAAACCAAUCAUGGCUCUGAUACCACUGAUGGGUUUUGGUCAUAAGACAUCCUAUGUGCUCAUACAAACCCUAAAGCUUGGAUCUAGGUUUCUCUAUUGUACAUACUUUGAAUCCAAGACUUUGAACCCUAAUUCUAGCAUAUGGAAAUCAGAAUUCACAUGUAAUUAGGUUUAAGAACAUACCUUGAUUGUUAUAUAGCAAUAACAAUCCAAUUCCUCCUUGAAUUGACCUUGGAAAGCUGAGAGUCACAAGUGUCACUCCUCUAAUGGCUUACAAACACCAUAAGCAAGUGGAGAAGGUAUAAAGAGAGAGGAGGGAGGUUAGAAUUCGUCCUUAGGACCUCUUGGGAAGGGUUAGACGAAUUCCUAAGCCCUAGGGGGUUUAUAUAGGUGUAAAGAUUAGGGUUUUAGUCCUUAUCCUUAUCUAGUUGCUUGUCCACCAAGCAACCAUAAGAUAAGUCCUAGAAAUCCUUAUCCUAGUCGAAUUCUAAGGGAUUUACACCUCAAAUUCGUUCACCAUAUAUAUAAGAUAAUCCUUACCUUAUUUUGUAACUAUCACAUAAUUACAAUUCAGCCCCUCUAGUUUAAUUAAUUACACUUGAUCACAAAAUUAAUUCUUAAUUAAUUAUUGACCAAUAUUAAUUAAACAAAUAUGAUUUCUCCUUUAAUAUAUUAUUCUUAUAACAUAUUAAUAAAUCAUAAUAACCUCUCUCUCUAUUUAUUUCUCCAAUCAAGUUGCUUUGGUGAAGGCAACCCAAAAGGACCAUGCACCAUCGGGUCAAGUACAUACCAAAAUAGUUAUGGACUUAGACACUAAUCCAACAGUCUCCCACUUGGAUAAGUCUAACAACUAUUCUGCGUAUGACUUCGGAUCCCGAUCUGCAAUCGUAGCUUUCCAAAGCCGCUGUCAACUCUGAUCAUAUCAGAUACGCGUGUCCUUAGAUAAGGGAUCAUAUAUUCCUCCAUUCUAGAUAUCAUAUGAGAUAUGAUUUCAAAUCAUUCUCUUUGUACUAUAUCUCGAUUUCCGAUUUAUGACGACUGACUAAUUGAACAAAUCAAAUUAGCCCUAGCCCGGCCGAGCAUUUACGUUUGUCAUCACUAAACCAUCGAGGGGCCCAAAGAUAUCGCUUUUAUCCUACUUUGGAUAAAAGGAACGGAUAAACUUUGAUACAAUGCUUGCUUGCACUCACUCACCGAAUCACACACAACAAUAUGUUUUAUAACACCAAGUUACUAGUGCGUUUACAUAUUAUCAAUGUGCAACCGAUUUGCAAGAUACAACUCACACAUCUCGGUUUCAAGAAUAUAAGAUGUUAUCGUCUCACCAAUCACUCGUGAUACAAUUCAUGGAGUGAUCCAAGUGAGCGUGGGUUUAAUCCAAUGCUCAAAUCACAUUCAUAAGCACUCAUGAACGUUGCAGCAAACAUUUGCUUAUGUCUAAUACUCUUUUAGACAAUCCACACACCAAUUCACGACAGUCUUCAUUCAUAUCUACUUCCAACAUAUGAACGACUGUGGCCCGUUUGAAUAAUUCGAUUAUUCUUAAUAAACUCAAUUAUUCUGGAAGUCAAAACAUGCAAAUGUGAAACACAAGAAUAAUACUAAUCCCAUAUGGCCUCAAACCUUUGAGUAUAAAUAAAACUCCUUUUAUUUAUCACCAUAUUGAUUACUCAUUAUUUGUCGUUUCGGGUAAUCAACUUCUUACUUGAAUUACAACACUUGUCCCAUGCUCCUAGCAUGCACACAAUGUUUACCUAUGGUUCUUACUUUGUGAAAUAGAUCACAUUGAACACAUUUCCAAUCCUUCUCAUUUCACAACUCCAAAUCCGUUUUUCAUAAGUUAAAGAAUAUCAAAUUCUUGUUACUUAUAGAAUAUGCUAGAUUCUAACAUUCUAUGCAACUAUCCUUUCGUAAUGUCACUGCACCAAAGUCACAAAGACUAUUGCCAAUGAUAUUACAAAGUCCUCUAUCGGAGAUUGUUACAAGACAAUUCCUUAGAUAUGAUGUCUCUCACUCAAAGUACAUUCCUUUGAACAUCCUUUUGCAUAAAAGUUUCUAAUCUAGACAUAGAUUUUCAAUAUUCAAUUCCCAAUAUGGACACGCUUCCAUAUUUUCCAUAUGACAACUCAUUC